UUGGUUCGAAACAAGGGGGAAUAAGCUCUUCUUCUCCCUUUGUUCUCAAACGAGAAUUUUUGUAUCCGAAACAGUAAUUUUUGAAUUUCUGAAAUAAACUGAUAUAAAACUGGAACUGCUAUAUAUUCUAUUCUUUUUUCUGAAACAAAUUUAUUCCUAAGUGGAAACUAAAUUAAUUAAAACCUAAAUUUAAUUUUAAUUAUAAUAUUAAAUUAUUAAUUAAGUUAAUUAUUAUAUUUAAAUCAUUAUCCAUUCUUAAAUAAUAAAGUAAUUAAUUAAUUUAUGACUUACAAUUGAUUAGUUAAUUAAUUAUUAAUAAUUUAAUAUGUUUAACUAUAAAUUAAUAUUUAUAUUGAUAAACCAUUAAUAUUUUUAUUAAUCUAAUUAAUUUUUUAUUAGUUAUCUAACUAAAAUAAUUUACUAACUAAUUAAAAAUUAAAAUUUUUAAUAUUUAAUUAAUUAAUUAAUAUAUUUUAUUAGCUUAUACAAUAUUCAUAGCUAAUAAAUUUAUUAAUUUAUUAAAUUACUUUUAAGUAAUAUUUUAAAUUUAAUUAAUUAUAUAAAAUAAUUUUAAUUUAAAAUUAUAGCUCUAAUUUCUUUUGUUCUAAUAUAACCAUCCAAAUAUUAUUUAUCUUAUUUCCAGAAAUAAUUUAAUUUUUAUUUAAGCCCAAAAUUAGUUUAAUUCUCGUGUAUAUCUAAACUUAUAGCUAUUUCUGAAAUAAAUAAUCUUUAUUUAUAUAUGAACCAAAU
This 750-nucleotide long non-coding RNA is filed under the name Ananas comosus (pineapple). RNAcentral's name for it is "long non-coding RNA (ACOM_LNC002249)". Lineage: Eukaryota; Viridiplantae; Streptophyta; Magnoliopsida; Poales; Bromeliaceae. The record is from RNAcentral.